RNAcentral lists this ribosomal RNA (254 nucleotides) under uncultured bacterium. Its description in RNAcentral is "partial 16S ribosomal RNA". It matches the Rfam family "Bacterial small subunit ribosomal RNA", at positions 79 to 334 of the family's 1533-position model. The record is from RNAcentral.
CUUUCUUUGCUGGCGACCGGCGCACGGGUGAGUAACACGUAUCCAACCUGCCCUUUACUCGGGGAUAGCCUUUCGAAAGAAAGAUUAAUACCCGAUAGCAUAAUGAUUCCGCAUGGUUUCAUUAUUAAAGGAUUCCGGUAAAGGAUGGGGAUGCGUUCCAUUAGGUUGUUGGUGAGGUAACGGCUCACCAAGCCUUCGGUGGAUAGGGGUUCUGAGAGGAAGGUCCCCCACAUUGGAACUGAGACACGGUCCAA